GUACGGGUUGUGAGAGCAAGAGCCCGGAGAUGGAUUCUGAGACACGAAUCCAGGCCCUACGGGGUGCAGCAGGCGCGAAAACUUUACAAUGCCGGCAACGGCGAUAAGGGGACCUCGAGUGCCAGGUUACAAAUCUGGCUGUCGUGAUGCCUAAAAAGCAUUGCAUAGCAAGGGCCGGGCAAGACCGGUGCCAGCCGCCGCGGUAACACCGGCGGCUCGAGUGGUAACCGUUAUUAUUGGGUCUAAAGGGUCUGUAGCCGGCCGGAUAAGUCUCUUGAGAAAUCCAGCAGCUCAACUGUUGGGCUUUCAGGAGAUACUGUUCGGCUCGAGGCCGGGAGAGGUGAGAGGUACUUCAGGGGUAGGGGUGAAAUCUUGUAAUCCUUGAAGGACCACCAGUGGCGAAGGCGUCUCACCAGAACGGACCUGACGGCAAGGGACGAAAGCUGGGGGCACGAACCGGAUUAGAUACCCGGGUAGUCCUAGCCGUAAACGAUACUCGCUAGGUGUCGGCCACGGUGCGACCGUUGUCGGUGCCGUAGGGAAGCCGUGAAGCGAGC
Molecule: ribosomal RNA, 557 nt
Filed under: uncultured archaeon
Lineage: Archaea
Description: bacterial SSU rRNA
Rfam family: Archaeal small subunit ribosomal RNA
Source: RNAcentral